GAUGAACGCUGGCGGCGUGCCUAAUACAUGCCAGUCGAGCGAACGGACGAGAAGCUUGCUUCUCUGAUGUUAGCGGCGGACGGGUGAGUAACACGUGGAUAACCUACCUAUAAGACUGGGAUAACUUCGGGAAACCGGAGCUAAUACCGGAUAAUAUUUUGAACUGCAUGGUUCAAAAGUGAAAGACGGUCUUGCUGUCACUUAUAGAUGGAUCCGCGCUGCAUUAGCUAGUUGGUAAGGUAACGGCUUACCAAGGCAACGAUGCAUAGCCGACCUGAGAGGGUGAUCGGCCACACUGGAACUGAGACACGGUCCAGACUCCUACGGGAGGCGGCAGUAGGGAAUCUUCCGCAAUGGGCGAAAGCCUGACGGAGCAACGCCGCGUGAGUGAUGAAGGUCUUCGGAUCGUAAAACUCUGUUAUUAGGGAAGAACAUAUGUGUAAGUAACUGUGCACAUCUUGACGGUACCUAAUCAGAAAGCCACGGCUAACUACGUG
This 497-nucleotide ribosomal RNA is filed under the name uncultured bacterium. Its description in RNAcentral is "partial 16S ribosomal RNA". It matches the Rfam family "Bacterial small subunit ribosomal RNA", at positions 28 to 507 of the family's 1533-position model. The record is from RNAcentral.